GGGCGGGAAAGAGGAGGUGGGCGGGAGGGAGAGGAACGAGGACGCGAGCUACCCGCGCGCGCGCCGCUUAGGCGCCUUAGCCCGCCUUUGCAGCGCGCGCUGGGCUCAGAACGGUUCUGAGCUCCGAGGAGGUCGGGGGCGAGCGGGUGUGCACAGGGAAGGCGCGUGCGCGCGUGCGGGGCGGGGAUGGGCUGGGGGCGGCGCGUGGUCUCAGUUUGCGAUCGGGGGGCGGGCGCCGAGCUGCCUACCUCUGAAGUCAAAAGGCGGCGCAGCGGCCGCCGAGCUCCGCGGCGGCAAGAACAUGGUACGCCGGCUCUUGAUCACCGUGCGGAUUCGGCGCGCGUACGGCCCGCCGCGAGUCAGGGCUUUCGUCGUGCACAUCGCGCGGCCAGCGGGUGAGUGGGCAGCGCCGGGUGUGCGGGCCGCUGCGGACCUCGUGCUGAUGCUAGUGAGGAGCCAGCGCAGAGCGCAGCAACCGCAUCCUAGACCAGGUCAUGAUGAUGGGCAGCGCCCGCGUGGCCGAGCUGCUGCUGCUCCACGGCGCGGACCCCAACUGCGCGGACCCCGCCACCCUCACCCGACCCGUGCACGACGCCGCCCGGGAGGGCUUCCUGGACACGUUGGUGGUGCUGCACCGAGCCGGGGCGCGGCUGGACGUGCGGGACGCCCGGGGCCGCCUGCCCGUGGACCUGGCUGAGGAGCGGGGCCACCGCGACGUCGCCGGGUACCUGCGCGCGGCUGCAGCGGGGCACCGAAGGCGGUAGCCACGCCCGCGCAGACCCCGCGGAAGGUCCGGCAGACGCUACGGACCUAAAGAAUCGUUGACAUCUACAGAUACUUCGGCAACAUAUUUUUCAGUCGUAGAAGUCCUAUUCUUCCCUGCUUAGGUCCAAUUUAUCAAAUAAUGCUUUUAAAAAUUGUAGCUGCCUUCCCCUUUCCUUAAAUUUCCAUUUUUCUAUAAAAGUUA
RNA transcript from Hippopotamus amphibius kiboko, 967 nucleotides. It is a transcript of the gene named cyclin-dependent kinase inhibitor 2A-like, with no coding region annotated. The transcript has 3 exons. The record is from RefSeq and is a predicted model, not a curated record. Lineage: Eukaryota; Metazoa; Chordata; Mammalia; Artiodactyla; Hippopotamidae.